Molecule: long non-coding RNA, 209 nt
Filed under: Manihot esculenta (cassava)
Lineage: Eukaryota; Viridiplantae; Streptophyta; Magnoliopsida; Malpighiales; Euphorbiaceae
Description: long non-coding RNA (MESC_LNC003958)
Source: RNAcentral
UGAGCGUAAAUCGGUUUAAACCGAAAAACCGAACCGAACCGAUCGAUUUCGAUUUAAUGGUUCGGUUAAUCGAAAAGUUCGGUUCGGUUCGGUUAAUAUUUUUCAACUUAUUCGGUUUUCGGUUCGGUUCGGUUUAAACGUGUUAAAUAACCGAAAAACCGAAAAACCAAUUUUUAAUAUAUUUUUAUUAUUUAAAACACUGGUUUGAU